UACGUAGGGACCAAGCGUUGUCCGGAAUCAUUGGGCGUAAAGCGCGCGUAGGUGGCCAUUUAAGUCCGCUGUGAAAGUCAGAGGCUCAACCUUUGAAAGCCGGUGGAUACUGGAUGGCUAGAGUACGGAAGAGGCGAGUGGAAUUUCUGGUGUAGCGGUGGAAUGCGCAGAUAUCAGGAGGAACACCAAUAGCGAAGGCAGCUCGCUGGGACGUUACUGACACUAAGGCGCGAAAGCGUGGGGAGCGAACAGG
RNAcentral lists this ribosomal RNA (253 nucleotides) under uncultured bacterium. RNAcentral's name for it is "partial 16S ribosomal RNA". It matches the Rfam family "Bacterial small subunit ribosomal RNA", at positions 524 to 776 of the family's 1533-position model. The record is from RNAcentral.